GAGUUGGGCUGUUGGGGUUACUGGAGGACUAGAGUUGGGCUGUUGGGAGGACUGGAGGACUGGAGUUGGGCUUUUGGGGUUACUGGAGGACUGGAGUUGGGCUGUUGGGGUUACUGGAGGACUGGAGUUGGGCUGUUGGGGUUACUGGAGGACUGGAGUUGGGCUGUUGGGAGGACUGGAGGACUGGAGGACUGGAGGACUGGAGUUGGGCUGUUGGGAGGACUGGAGGACUGGAGGACUGGAGGACUGGAGUUGGGCUGUUGGGAGGACUGGAGGACUGGAGUUGGGCUGUUGGGAGGACUGGAGUUGGGCUGUUGGGAGGACUGGAGGACUGGAGUUGGGCUGUUGGGAGGACUGGAGGACUGGAGUUGGGCUGUUGGGGUUACUGGAGGACUGGAGUUGGGCUGUUGGGAGGACUGGAGGACUGGAGUUUGGCUGUUGGGAGGACUGGAGGACUGGAGUUCGGCUGUUGGGAGGACUGGAGGACUGGAGUUGGGGCUGUUGGGAGGACUGGAGGACUGGAGUUUGGGCUGUUGGGAGGACUGGAGGACUGGAGUUGGGCUGUUGGGGUUACUGGAGGACUGGAGUUGGGCUGUUGGGGGGACUGGAGGACUGGAGUUGGGCUGUUGGGGUUACUGGAGGACUGGAGUUGGGCUGUUGGGGUUACUGGAGGACUGGAGUUGGGCUGUUGGGGUUACUGGAGGACUGGAGUUGGGCUGUUGGGGGAUGACUGGAGUUGGGCUGUUGGGGGGACUGGAGUUGGGCUGUUGGGGGUACAUGAGGACUGGAGUUUGGCUGUUGGGGGUGCUGGAGGACUGGAGUUUUGCUGUUGGGGGUACUGGAGGACUGGAGUUGGGCUGUUGGGAGUACUGUAGUAGUAGCUAGUACUGUUAGCUGUUAGCUACUGAAGCUAGUAUUGUUAGCUGUUAGCUAGUUAGUACUGUUAGCUGUUAGCUAGCUAGUACUGUUAGCUGUUAGCUUUUUAGUAUUGUUAGCUGUUAGCUACUGUAGCUAGUAUUGUAAGCUAGCCAGAUAGCCACGAAGAAAUGUUAGCUAGCUACCCUAGAAUUUACCUAACAUUAGUAACAUUAGUUUUAGGUAGAGGUAGUGAGGGGGUCAGGUCUGUGUGGUUGGUGAUGGUGUAGUAGAGGUAGUGAGGGGGUCAGGUCUGUGUGGUUGGUGAU
This 1184-nucleotide long non-coding RNA is filed under the name Salmo trutta (river trout). RNAcentral's name for it is "lncRNA (ENSSTUG00000001755.1)". Lineage: Eukaryota; Metazoa; Chordata; Actinopteri; Salmoniformes; Salmonidae. The record is from RNAcentral.